RNAcentral lists this long non-coding RNA (310 nucleotides) under Mytilus galloprovincialis (Mediterranean mussel). Lineage: Eukaryota; Metazoa; Mollusca; Bivalvia; Mytilida; Mytilidae. The record is from RNAcentral.
CGCCGUCUCCGAUCUUUCAAUAUAUGAACUGCGGUCUGAUCUGUAAAUUCACCUGAGAACUAUUCUGGAUUCUGACAUUUCGUUGAUGUAUAUGGCGAGAAGUGCUUGGUAGGGCAGGAAUAACUUACUCUAUCGACGCAACAGUCUCCAUCCUUUUAAAGUGCAUGCAAUAUCCUCAUAUUCAGUUUGUUGCCUUAGUAUGUGUCUUCCUAAUCGAUUUAUGAGAUUGAAAGAUCAAUACAAUACUGUUGUCUAAAUUCAAAGACGAAAUACAACAUUAUCUGAAUUUCUCUUAUUUCGGUGUAUACAU